AGAUUCUCAUUUUGGAAGUGGAAAUCCAAAAAUAUAUCUCAGGGAUGAAAACUCACUCAGAUCUUCAACUCCACAAACUGUUCCUGAUCCCGUGUCUGUGGGAGUGGAGCCCUGCAACUGCCCUUCUACAAACCCCUGUAAGUUUCCUGGACACCUUCAAGCUUGUCUUGGAGGAAACACUGAGGAGGAAGUGAACAGACGUGAAUCUUCUCCAUGUUGUUCUUGUACAACUGGUUACCUCAGUUCAGACUCUUCUGAUGAUGAACCCUGCUCGGACUCGUGUCAGCAAGAGUCUGCUUCUCAAGUGGAUCGAGUCUGUUCAGAUAAUUCAAUCACAAGCU
This is a long non-coding RNA of Cololabis saira (Pacific saury), 341 nucleotides long. RefSeq lists it as uncharacterized. NCBI's taxonomy places the organism in Eukaryota, Metazoa, Chordata, Actinopteri, Beloniformes, Belonidae. The transcript is spliced from 5 exons. The record is from RefSeq and is a predicted model, not a curated record.